CCUGCCCCUAGAGGCACUGGAGGUGUCAUUGCCUUGUCACAUGUGUGUCAGUAGGUGGAGAGAGGAGAGAGGCUAUAUCUACACUCAGUGUUCUGUCCUGUGAACAUCAGAAUGAUAAGUACACUAACACU
Molecule: small nucleolar RNA, 131 nt
Organism: Grammomys surdaster
Lineage: Eukaryota; Metazoa; Chordata; Mammalia; Rodentia; Muridae
Product: small nucleolar RNA SNORA17
Exons: 1
Source: RefSeq, a predicted model, not a curated record